This 798-nucleotide long non-coding RNA is filed under the name Malus domestica (apple). RNAcentral's name for it is "long non-coding RNA (MDOM_LNC001988)". The record is from RNAcentral. Lineage: Eukaryota; Viridiplantae; Streptophyta; Magnoliopsida; Rosales; Rosaceae.
AACCGUUUGAUUGAUGACUUAUUUUUGUGUGUUAAUUAAGGUGGCCAACUUAGUUUUCAUGCAGGAAUUUGAGCUAAAACAUAAGGAAGUUUCACCUAAUAGUUACAACCUUAUGUUUGCAAGUAGUGGAGGUCGCUUAUAAAUGAUCGUGUUAAGUGAAUUUUUGGCAAACGUUUCAUGCUUUUCAUAGUAACAAUUGCCUCGUCAAUGCUUAUAGUUUUCAUGAAGCUUAAUGAUCUUUGAUUGUACCUUUAUUGUGCUUUUCAUGUAAGGGACUUUUAGAGAAUGUUUUGAGUUGUUGCAGUGCAUUCCCAUCCAAUUCACUAACUUUAGGAAAACUUGAAGGUUAAAAAAGUGCUAUCACAGUUAACCUAGGGCGUUGAGAUUCAUAGUUUAUUGAAAGAAGCAAUUGGAAAUCAAAGUUGAAUGCAAGUGUAUCAUGUGUGGAGAAGAACCCUCUAGUUAGUCUAUCACCCAUCAAUUUACUUAAUUUUGUCUAAGAAUCUGUUUACAUUGUUCUUGCUUUGUUUUAUUUAUUUUCGUCCAAAAUCACCCCAUCUUAUUUCUUUGAGUCAUAUUAACUAGAACUUGUCUUAGAAUAUGUUUUUAGGUGUUUUAGGUCAUUAGAAAAUCAAAAUUCGUCCAAGUUGUGUUAGAGUCCCAAAACUGCCCAGAAAGUGGUUUUUAGGCAGUUUUGAGUGUUUGUUUGCUGUUUUGAGUCUUUUGGUUUGGUUUAGUGUUUUAGAGUUUAGUUUUGCAUUCUUUGAGUCUAGUUUAGUAUUUUAAACUUUGUUUUAC